GCAAGUAAGCUUAUUUUACACGCGAGGAAACUGAGGUUCAGAGAGGGGAAGGAAGUUUAUAGUGUUGGUGGAGCUGAGAUUCAAACCCACGCCUACCUUUUUCUUGCUUUCUACUCUUAUCUGCUAAGGAGUGUCGACUCCCAUAGUCUAAUAGGAGUCCCCCUUCUGUUGUAUCUCGGACCCAAGGAAGCUUUUGUAAAACUCAAAUCCAGCCCAAAUGAAAGCUAGAGGGGCAGGGGGCGGGGAGGGGGUCGUGGUGUACAGUGACUGAGGCGUACAUGAACCCUCUGAGAAACCUUCAGCAGUCCCUGUGUGGAUGACAGGAGCUUGCUGGAGCGUGCGCAGAUGCACCCCAGACCCACCCAAUCAGCUUCCACAGAAAGUUGGGAAAGUGUUGGCUUAGCUCAUCUCCAAAGUGGUUAGCCCAGGCAGCCCUGAGGGUAUCUGCAGCCCUAUACAGUCACAGAGCAAGGCCUGACCUGGAGUAAAGAGCUCUACAAAUAUUUGCUCUAUGAGUGAGGGAGUUGGCAAGCUCUCCUGCUCCAGCAAAGCAAAUAGACGCUCAAGAGACUGAGCUAGGGCUUCUGCGGGGUGGCUCGGACCACCACCACUUUGCGUGCUCUCUGUGACGCACUUUCAGAAAACAUGAAAGCAAUAGAACUGUAAAGGACCCUUCAUCUACCGUUCAUGGGUUGUCAUGGGUCUAUAGGCUGCGGAGAGCUAGCUCCUUAGUACGGUUUUGGGUUUUGGUGUAUGUGUGGGCAUGCGUGGCUAUGUUCAUCCUGGUGUGGUGGAUUCCUGAGAGAGACCUGCGAAUGUCUUCAUAUUUCCCUUCUUUGGGAGGAGGUGUGGCCCGUGGAGGUCAGAGGACAAUGGCAGUCUAUUCACUCCUUCUGCCAGGUUAUCCCUGGGAUUCGAAGCACGUUGUCAGAAUAGGUGGCAAGCGUCUUUAUCCAUGGAGCCGUCUUACCAGCCUUCCACCUUAGUUUUUGCGAUAUAAUCUCUCACUGAACCUGAGUGUUUAGUUGAGCCUCUGAGAUCCACUUGUCUCAAACCCCGAACCCCGGCAUUAUAGACAUGUACCAACACAGAUUUCUACAUGAGUGUUGGGAAUCAAACAUCAGGAGUCAAAUCAUCCCUGAGCUGGCAGUGGUGGCACACGCCUUUAACCCCAGCACUUGGGAGGCAGAGGCAGGUGGAUCUCUGUGAGUUCAAGGCCUGUCUAGUUCACAGAGUGAGUUCUAGGAUAGGCAGAGCUACACGGAAAAACCCUGUCUCAAAAAAUACCAAAGUAAGUAAGUAAAUAAAUAGCCAAAUCAUGUUUCCGGCAGGAAAAUGCAAAUUUCUCUCUCUGUCUCUAUACCUGAUGGUAGCCGUGUUUAGAUCUCUUGGAGAUUUCUUAUUUUAUUCUGUUUAUCUGGCAGGCAUGGGUGUGGAAAUCAGAGGUCAGUAUGAGGGGGAUCAGUUCUCAGUGCAACGUUGGUCCCUGGGAUUGAAGGGUCUUCCCCAUCAGUACCUCACUGCUGAGCCACCUCGCUGUCUCUGAAUAAGUUGUUUGUGGUACUGCUUCUUGUUUGUUUGUUUGUUGCUGAUCUUAGAAACUGUGCUCUGAAAAGGAUGAAGCCUUGGUGUCUUAGACCAUGAUGGUUUGAGUAAGACGUCCCCUGUUGUCUCAGAUAUUUGAAAAUUUGAUUCCCAACUUGGAGUCUUAGAAGGUGUAGCCUUGCUGCAGGAUGCACCUGAGGUGAGUUUUAGCCUGGGGCCAUUCCCAAUGCCCGUUUUCUGUUUCUGCUUGAGGUUGAAGAUGUGAGACCUCAAACUUCCUGCCUCUGUCACCAUACCUUAGCUCUGCCAUUAUGGGGCCUAACCAAAUCAACUCUUCUAUAAGUUGCCAUGGUCAUGUGCUUUAUCACAGCAAGAGAAAAACAAUACAUGCACCACUGAAGUUCAGCCCUGCCUGUUUUCCAUGAUAGCCAUCAGGUGGCUUGGGCUAGACCAGUACCAGUUGACCUAUGACUUGGCAAACACCUCACGACUGACUGACCCAUAGGGUAACUUAGAUGUAAGUAGAGGUCAGGAGUUCAAGGUCAUCCUUGGUUAUAUAAGUUCCAGGGUAGCCUGUGCUGAAUGAGAACCUUUCUCAAAAGAAAAGGUUAAUUCCAACUCAUCUCCCCAUCCCAUUAGAAUGUUCUUUUUCUGUAUAACCGUCAUAGUGACAAGGCUUUGUGUGAAGAUCUUUUCUUCCUGUACACGGAGUACCUGGUAUGUUCUCUCAAAUAAGGAAAAUAUAAUUUUAAAAAUUGGUUUAUUGUUCUAGUCCUUCCACUUCAUAACAUUUUUUAAAGAUAUUUGUUUGUUUUAUGUAUAUGAGUACAUUGUCACUGUGUUCAGACACAGCAGAAGAGGCAUCAGAUUACAGAUGACUGUGAGCCACCAUGUGGUUGCUAGGAUUUGAAUUCAGGACCUCUGGAAGAGCAGCCAGUGCUCUUAACCACUUAGACAUCUCUCCAGUCUGUCUUUCCAUUUAAAAAAUAAAAAUAAAAAACCUCCUCUUAUACUUUAUCCUCAUUAUGUGUGGUCUGCUGUUUACACUUUUUUUAAAGUUUACUUAUUGAUGUGUGUGUGCAUGUGUGUGGGAGGGUGGGUGGGUAUAUGUGCAUGUGUGUGUGAAUGAAGAGGCCUAGUGUGUCCUCUGUCACUUUCCCUAUUUCUUUGAGGCAGGGUCUCUCCCCGAAUCUAGGGGCUUGCAUUUUCUCAGCUAGGCUAGAAGCCAGUGGCCCUCCUGCCUCCAUGCCCUCCUGACCUGGGUUACAGGUAUGUGUGCAGGGGCAUUGCCAGCUUGUUACAUGGUAGCCCUGGAAUCCAAACUCCCAGUCCUCUUCACUGCUCAGCAAGAGCACUGAGCCAUCCCUCCAGCCCUAAUUUGCAUGGCUGCUUUGGUGGUUUGAAUAUGCAUGACCUGGGUAGCAGCACUAUUAUGAGGCGUGGCCUUGUUGGAGGAAGUGUGUAAUGUGGGGUGUGGGCUUUGAGACCCUUCCUGGAAGACACUCUGCUCCUUGGCUUCCUUUGAAUGAAGAUAUAGAACUCUCAGCUCCUCCUGCACCAGGCCUGCCUGGACGCUGCCAUGCUCCUGCCUUGAUGAUAAAGGACUGAACCUCUGAACCUGUAAGCCAGCCCCAAUUAAAUGUCCUUAUAAGAGUUGCCUUAGUCAUGGUUUCUGUUCAUGGCAGUAGAGCUAUAACUAAGACAGAUGCUGUGUCAGUUUUGCAGGAUUUCCAGUGUUUCCUCACCCCUGCACUGGACGGUGAACAUGCUUCUGGGUCUGGCUAACAGGACGAGGCACAGUAGUUGAUCUCCCCGUUAUCUAUCCAGCUGGCUAAAGAGCAUAGAUUUAUGUUAUUUGCGAACAUUCUGAGGGCACCUCCCCUCAGAGCUCUGCUGCUUCACGUUGUCAUCGGUGGCGCGUGCCAUUUGUGUGCAAGCAAGGAGGACCGUGCGAAUUCAAAGUGCUGAGGAUCGCCUGAAAUGAUAUGCCAUGUGAGGGACUGAAUUCAGAUUCCCCAGAACCCAUGACAAGCCAGACUCGGUAGGGUGUGUCUGUGACGUUGACACUCCUGCAGUGGGACAAGAGGAGGAGGCUCUCCAGAAACUCUCAGGCUGGCUCGCCCGUAGUAUAUGUAGCUUCAAACAACAAAGAAACCUGCCUCAAACAAACUGAAUACAAGGUGGUAACCUGUGCACACGCACACUCAGGAACAUGCUGACAUACAUCACACGCUGUAACACCUCUCCCUUCCUCUUUCUGCCCAUGCAUGCUUUUGAUUGUGCCCCCCCUGCCGUGUGUGUGUGUGUGUGUGCGUGUGUGUGUGUGUGUGUGUGUGUGUGUGUGCGCGCGCGCGCGCGCGCGCACAGUGGCUAGAAGAGGGCAUUGGGUCCCUUGGGUCUGGUGUUUCACAUACCUGUGAACCACCUGACAUGGGUACCGAAUUCCAGUCCCGAACAGUGAGCAUCCUUAACCUCUGAACCAUCUCUCUAGCCCCACAUGCUUUAUCCUAAGAUACUUACUUGUUCACAAGUUAGCAUCUGGAUGGAGAUGCGGCUGUUUUUUUAAUAUCAUGAAGUAUGGUGAUUGUCUGCAGAUGGAGGACCCUGGGUGUGUUUCUGACUCUGCCAUCCCAUUCCUUAAGACAUACCUACUUCCCUUCGUUACAAAAAAUGACUUCUGUUUGAACCUUUAAAAAAUGAAAUAAUUGGCUGCCGGGGUCAGGGCGAGUGCCUGUAGCUCAACCUACUAGCACUCGAGGUUGUGCCAUGGUAACUAUGUCGAAACCAAAUUAUAGGGGUUUCUUUUGCAGUUUUGUUACAAGCUAGUAACAGCCCAGUGCGUGACCUGUGUGAAUGGGAGGAUGCCGCAAUCUUGUAACUAUCACCAGCACUUGAAACAGAAUCAAGGAGAUUGCAACAAUGUCAGUCUCGGUUAAUUGAAUCCUUCCUGGUAUUGGUGCCUUUCAAAUGAAGUGGCAUCCAUGCAAUGGUGUUAAGUCCCCUUUUAUUUACUUAACCGCACGAGAAAAGUUAGCCUCGGCCACACGGAUUGGGUGGACUGAAGGCUGGCAUCUAAAUCACCAUCUUGUCAGCCCUUUGCAAAAGAGGGAGGGGUCAUUUCCCUUUCACAGAGGUCUUUAGAGGAAAAAACUAAAAGAGGCCAGCCAGUGAGGAAAAAGAAGCUUUCAAGAGAUGAACUGUCCACCCCCACCUCCACCCCGCCCCCCCACCUCCGCCAACACACACAGACACACGCAGGUGUGGUGCCCUUCUGCAUCUAAAGUGGGGAGCGUAGUGAAGUGGUAAUUGUUGUAAUGCAGGGGAUUCUACUGCUUGGCUAAUGCCCCAUGCAGGCUGGGGAUUGCCAAUGCCUUGAAAUUAGUGGGACAAUUCCAGCACAAAGAAUCGCUGGGGCCCUACUGUUCUAUGGUGAGCCAUUAUCUGCGUUUUGGGGUACACUGUCCUGGAAUUUCAUGAGUUAUACCCUACUUAUCCAUAAUUUUUAAAAAACAUGAACAACUCUUUCUUACUGUGGCUAUGGUGGAGAGUGGAUUGUCCGCUGAACACAAUCUAAUCACCUAGGAACAAGCCGCUGGCUGUAUCUUCCGAGGGACUUUUUGAUUGGGUUAAUUGUGAUAGGAAAGCUCACCCCAAGUGGACUGGGAUCCUCGACUGAAUUAAAAGGAAAACACAAUUGAAUUUGCUCAUCAUCCUUGUGCAGGGACCAUGCUAAUCUUCGCUGUAUCUGCCCAAUUUUACUCUUUGUGCUCCCGAAGCAAGCACAUACCCUGUUUCUUGCUGACACCGAAUACCUUUUCCCAUAGGUGGUUAUCCCCAUUUGUUUAAAGAUUAUUUCAUUGUUAGUUGUGUGUCACCUAUGUCUGUGAACAGGAUUGCACACAUGGGCCCAGGUGUCCUCACUAGUCAGAGGCAUCAGUUCUCCUGGAGCUGGAGUUCCAGGUAGUUGUGAGCCACCCGCAGUGGGUGCUGGGAACUGAACUCUGGUCCUUGGCAACAGCAGCAGGCGCUCUUAACCACUGAACCAGCUCCCCAACCUUCUGUGUAUAUUUUAAAAAUUAUAUACUUUCAUAAUUUUAUAUGAUGUACUUUGAUCAUAUUUGCUCCCCAACCAACCCCUUUCUUUUUUUCUGUUUCUUUUCUUCAUUCACUUAUUUCUUAUUCCUCCCACCUUUUUUUUUUUUUUGGUCUGAUUUUGUGAGACAGGGUCUCAUCAUGUAGCCCUGGCUACACCGAAACUUACUAUGUAGACCAGGCUAACCUAGAAAUAGAAGAGACCCACCUAUGUGUGUCUGCCUUGGGAGUUUUGAGACUAAAGGAGUGCACCACCAUGUGUGACGCCCUUACUCAAGGCAUUAAAGCAUUUUUAUUAUAUGAAUUUUAAAAAUUCCACCUUUUAAAAUAUCCUUUAUUACAUGAAUGUACAUAAUGCAUAAGUAUUAUAUAUCAUAUUCUCCCUGACCAAUUUGCUUUUGUCUUUUAAAAAAUAUUUAUUUUGUUAUUUUCUGUGGCAGGUGUUUUGCCGGCAUGCCUGUUUGGGCACCACAAGUAUGUCUGCUGCCUGAGGAAGCCAAAAGGGAGCGUUAGGUGCAGUUAGAGUCAGCUGUGAGCUGCCAUGUGGGUACAAGUGCCGUUACCCACUGAACCAACUCUCGGGGCCCCUUAAUGGCCACACCAUACCCCAGAAGCAUACAGACUACAACGGUCACAUGUGUGUUUGUUUUCUUCCUCGAAGACAUCUUAGCAAACAUCCUUUAAGCUAAAUGAAUCUCUCUGGCCUGGUGGUUAUGGCACACGCCUUUAAUCCCAGCAUUUCUCAGGCAGAGGCAAGCAGAUCUCUUGAGCUUGAGGCCAGCCUGGUCUGUAGAGCAAGUUCUAGGACAGCCAGGGUACACAGAGAAACCCUGUCUUGGAAAAAACAAAACAAAACAAAAAAGAAAAAGCAAACAAAAAAAGAAUCUGUCUCUAGAUCAUUUUACUCUUAGCCUAGUUAGAAUUAAUUUUAAAGGAUGAGGGACUGGCAGUGUGUGCCCUUUGUAAGGGGUGCCUGUGUGAGCAUGGGGAAGGGGUUAUUUCCUUGAGCUAGGGCAACUGAGCAUGGGCUACACCAUUAAGGAAAAGGACACCCAACCCCAGCCACUAUUAACUACCUAUGGCUCCUUAAGGAGGGGUGGAGCCUUUUGAGCUGUAGUGGAAUAGUUUUGGGCAUUCGUUAAGCAAGUAGGCACGGCUGCUGUGGGGUUGUAGGAACAACAGCCAUGUCACAUUCAGGACACAGCGUUUCGAAGCUCUCUUCCCUGUCCUGUGGCCCUUCCCCCUCUCCACAGUUUCUUGUGCCUUGGAAACAGUGUUGCUGAUGUCCCACUCAGGGCUGAAGUACAGUAGCAAGUCCAUUUAGCAAAGUAACAAUAGUAGGCUCACCCCCACGGACUAUGUCCACCCUAGGCAUGAUUUUGUGACCAAGUUUAUAGUGCCAGGCACAGAUUCCUGGUUUUAUUGAGAUAUGACUCAUUUGUAAAGUUGACCUUUUGUAAGGUGUACAAUUCAGAGGAUCAUAGAUGAUUAUAGGUUUGGAAAAACUAUCCCCAUUAGCUAAUUAGAACUUUACCUCAUUAAAGAGACUGCACCUGCGAGCAGUCACUCCCCAUUCUCCCCAUUCGUCUGUUUAAGGGGAAAUUGCUAACCUACUUUCCAUCUCUGUGGAUUUGCCUGCUCUGCGUGUUACACGCAAAUGGAGUUCUCCCCAUGUUCCUUACUCCUCGAUGGCUGUCACUUAGCACCAUGCUUCCAAGAAUCAUUCAUGCGGUCCAUGAAACGCUUGUUGCACAAGCAUGAGAGUCUGGGUUCAGAUCGCCAGCACCCACAUAAAAAGCUGGGUGAGGUGGCGUGUACCUGGAACCCAAGAGCUAUCGGGGAGAGACAAGGGGAUCACUAGGCUUACUGACCCAUUGAUGAGCUCCAGGUCUAAUGAGAGAGAGACCCUGUCUCAAAAAAAAACAGGGUGUAACACAGUAGAGGAAGACAUCUGAAGUCAACCUCCGACUUCUCCAUGUAUACAUGGCACACGCAUGCACAACACAUACACACACACACACACACACACACACACACACAGGACUCCAAUUGAAAUCAAAAGAUAUAUUCAUGCUGCAUAGUGUGUAUUUUACUAGUUUUGUAGUCAAGCGCUAUUCCGUCUCCUCGUAUACAAGGUUUUGUUUAUCCAUUCACCAGCUGCCAGAGUUGCUUCUGUAUUUUGACCAUUAUGAAUAAAGCUACUGUGAACCUUACUGGACCAACUUCUUCAAAAGACAUGUUCUUUUUGAUUCUUUUAGCUAAAGGAAUGGAAUCACAUAAGGUGACUCAGCUUAAUGUCUUGAGACUUUAAUAGACUGUUCCCAAAGCAGGCGGAUUACUGGGUAUCCCGUGAAGGACGUGGGAGUUUCAUUUCUCACCAAGAUGUACUUUGAGUCUAGCAACCCUGUUGGGUAUGAAGUGAUUUACCAUUGUGAGUUUGGCUCGCUUUGCCUUGGUGACCAAAAACACUGAACAAUUUUCCUCUGUGUGUGUGUGUGUGUGUGUGUGUGUGUGUGUGUGUGUGUGUGUGUGUGUUUUGAGAAAUGUCUAUUUAAAUCCUUUGCUGUUUGGAAAAAUGAUUUGCUUGUGUGCAUAUGAGUGUGCAUGUGUGGCUGUGCAUGUUGCUGUAGGGAGUGGACAAGUCACGACUGUGUGGACAGAGGCUACAGGACAAGUUUUUUUUUUUUUUUUUUUUUUUUUGGUUCUUUUUUUCGGAGCUGGGGACCGAACCCAGGGCCUUGCGCUUCCUAGGUAAGCACUCUACCACUGAGCUAAAUCCCCAGCCCCCAGGACAAGUUUUAAUGUUCACCGUCCACCUUGUUUUGAGACAGGGUCUCCCUUUGGUCAGGACCUUGCACAACAAGCUAGCGUGGCUGACCACUGACCACUGGGAAUCCUCCUGUCUCUGCCUUCCCAGCUCUGGAAUUGCAAGCAAGUAUUACCAAUGGAGGCUUUUAUCCCCCUCCUAAAUCUAAGUCCUUCAAGCGCUUUACUGACUAUUUCCCCGGGCCUGGUUUACUUUUAUCUUUUCUCUCAUACCCUGUGGUAAAUUCCUUAACAGAUCCACGCCUUGAAAACAUUUUCUCCUUGGCUGAAGUGUGUGUGUUUUGUUUUUGUUUUUGUUUUCUUUUUUUCUUUUUUUCUUUUUUUUCGGAGCUGGGGACGGACGGACGGAACCCAGGGCCUUGCGCUUCCUAGGCAAGCGCUCUACCACUGAGCUAAAUCCCCAACCCCGAGGUGGUUUGUUUUUCUCUCACUUUUCUCGAUAACAGUUUCUGAUGCACACAGGGUAUUCCAUGAAGUUUUGUUUUAUUCUUACAGGAUUAUUCCUUUUUCUCUUAUGUGUAAGAGUGUUUGCCUGCCUGUAUGUGUGUGCACUGUGUAUACCUGCAGAGGCCAGAAGAGGGUGUCUGAUCCCUUGGAACUGGAAAUACGGGUGGUUUGAGUGGGUACUGGGUGCUGAAUCUGGGUCUCCUGAAAGAGCGGCCAGUGCUGUCCCUGGCAGCCAUAUCUCCAGGGCGCAGUUGUUCCUUUUGUUGUAUGUGUAUUUUGUCAUUUCCAGGAAAGCCUAAUUAAGUCACAGAUGUCCACUCCUGUGUAUAUACCCCCCCCGCCCGUUAGUUUUAUACUUUUAGAUCUUAAAUUUACAUCUGCGAUUAGUUUUUUUUUUUAAAUAUAUAAUAUGAGGUAAAGAUUUCACUUUGUUUUUUUACCUACAGCUGUCCCGUUGUCCCAACAACACUUGUGGACAAGUUGUCUCCCUCAGCCUAGAUUCUGUAUCUCUCAUAUGACUUGUGCUUAGUGGCGGGGAGUGUAUAUUUGUCUGCUCGUUUGUCACACACAGUGCCUCUUUUGUCCCAGGAUGGCCUCAACUCACUGUGUGGCCAAGGAUGACCCAACUCCUGAGUGCUGGGAUUCCAGGCAUGUACACUCAGGUCACAUGGUGCUGUGGCUAGAACCCCACAUGCUAGGCAAGCAGCCUACCAACUGAGCUACACCUCCAGCCCUUCUUCGUGGUUUUGUUUGUUUGUUUAAUAAUUUAUUUUAUUUUAUGUGCAUUCAUGCGAGGGUGUCGGAUCUUCUGGAACUGGAGUUACAGACAGUUGUAAGCUGCCACGUGGGUGCUGGGAAUUGAACCCUGGUCCUUUGGAAGAUCAGCGGGUGUUCUUAACAACUGAGCCAUCCUCUCUGGCCCCACCCCUCUUCUUUGUUUUUGAAGCCUCCCAAUGUAGUGCAGGCCUCAGUUGUCCAUCUUCCUCCCUCAACCUCCCAAGUGCUACUAUGUAGCGCCUCCACACCUAGCAGGGUCCGGACAUCAAAGAAUCUUAAAGGUUAAAAGCUACACUGGGCGCCCAGCAAUUGCUGUGCACUCAGGAGGCGGAGGCAGGUGGAUCUCUCCAAGUCUGGUCUAUAGAGUGAGUUCCAGGGCUACACGGAGAAACCCUGUCUCAAACAAACACCCAAAACAGCAGCAACAAAAACAAAAUAAAUAAAUACAUAAAUAAGCAAGCAGGCCUAGAGUAAGAAACCGAGAGACCUGUGUGUUUUACCAUGCUCAGUCUAUUUAGACUUUGUAAACGAUUAAUAGGAUGAUUUAGCUACGGUCAUGAAUGGUGCAGCUUUGAAGCCACAGUGGAAAGAUGACGUCAACUUCCAUUACUAGAAGGCUUGAGUCAAAGAAAGCCUGAAAAGUCACCGGCUGACUGAUUUUUUUUUCCCAGAGGUCUGAGCUUAUGAUCUGUGUCAAGAAACAGGCUAAUCUCCAACCUUGUUCCUUAUCUCAUCUGCACUUUCCUUCCCAUAUCCCAGCUCUAAUUAUAAGAGGUUCCACCUUACGGGUGUGUGUGGUGGGGGUCGGUAAGUCAGAGGAAAAAGAGAGCUGUGUUUAUUUAAAAGUCUAUCUUGUUUCCAGAGACAGUUAUAGGCGGCACAAAUGUCUUUACAUUGAAGCUGUAAAUGCUACACCACUAAAUUCCUGAGAUCUCUGUGGAGAAUAAAUCUUGAUUGGAAACACGAGCUUUGAGCAGCCUCGAAGGGGCCCCCAAAGGCAGACGCGUCAGAGGCAGCUCCUGGGUGGCCAUCAGUGAAACCACAGCCGGGAGGGGGAAAUGUUGGUCUUAUCAGCUCUUGACUCCAGGUUUGCCUCCGGUCUGUGAAGCCAUCCAUGUCUUCUGUCUCACAAGGUGAAGCGUUCCCUUAAGAGUUAGAGAUGUUGGUGGAUGUCUAGGCUAGCUAUACCGAAUGGUCUCCUGGGUUUCGUGGCUCAGAGAGCUUGCUGUGCAAACAUCAAGAUCAGAGUUCAAAUCCUCAGUGUCUAUAUAAGGAGCUGGCUUCUGGAACCCUAAGCUGUAGGUAGGGUUAAGGGGGAGAGGAAAGACAGGAAGCUUGCUGGCCACCAGCCUAGCUCCAUGGUCAGUGAGAGACCCUGUCUUGGAGAAUAAGGCAGAGUAGCGAAGCAGGACACUUGGACUCCUCUGGCCUUAGUGGCCAUCCCUGAAUGCAUGUGUGUACAGAUAGCAUACGUGUGCCCCCUCCCAGGAACUUAGAUCCAAAGGCUUUAAGUCUGAUAAGACUUUCCAGUGGUUUCUUUUUUUUUUUUUUUUUUCCUUCCUAUUCCACAUCAUGAGCUAAUUUCCCACUGCCUAGGAAGCUAAUGCUGGAUUUUUUUUUUUAAACUCUAUUAUGUGAUUACAUUGAACUCAAAGGCGGGAGACCAGGGCUAGGUUAAAUGGUAUUGUAAGGCUGAGUGACACAAAUGGUGUCCGGGAAAUGGCUCAGGUGGGAGGUACCAUGUGUGUUCUCUUUGUUCCCCAUUUCCAAAAGCACUGGGGCUUGGUCGCCAGGGGUAAUUUUCUGGACUCGUGCAAGUGAGGAGUAGGGUAGUAUCUUUUCCUGGGCUCUCAGAGCAAGGUUCCUUGAACCCUCCCAAUCUUGGGUAGCAUAGACUGGCCUUAAACAACUCAUGUUCCCUUCCCUACCUCCCAAGUUCUGGACUUAUACAAUCUCUGACUCCUCCUUUUGCCUGUUUAACAACUGGCAUGCCGUCAAGCAUUAAGACCCAUAUACAUUAUGUGUGUGUUUGUAUGUCUGUAUGUCCGUAUGUCUGUCUAUGUGGGCCUGCGGGAUGGCUCAGCAGGGAAAGGCACUUGCUGCCUGUCUUGGGGUUACUGGUGCUGUGAUAUAAACACCAUGACCCAAGCAGCUUGGGGAGGAAAGGGUUCAUUUGGUUUAAGAGCCCACAUCACUGUUCAUUAUUGAAAGAAGUCAGGACAGGAACUCAACCAGGGCAGGAACCUUGAGGGGCUGAUGCAGAGGCCAUGGGGCAGUGCUGCUUACUGUCUUGCUUCACUUGGCUUGCUCAGUCUGCCUGUCAGCCCAGUGAUGGCUCCGCCCACAGUGGGCGGGACCCUCCACCCAUCAAUCACUAAUUAAGAAAAUGUCCUACAGACUUGCCUACAGCCUAUGUUACAGAGGCGUUUUCCUAACUGAGGAUCCUCCUCUCAAAUAACUAUGGCUUGUGUCAAGAUGAUAUAAAAUUGACAAGCACACUGCCCGAGUCUGUUUGACCUGCUCACCUGACUCCUAGACAAAAUGCAGCCCCCAGAAUUGUAACUGGGAUGUUAUCUCAAGUUGUAUGAACCCACUAACUCACAGAGGGUGUGGGCUUCAAAUCCUGAUCUACGAGAACCUUCCCUAAGGUUCUAGACUUCUAGAAUAUUCCAAAUUAUGGCCCCUCCCUCUCUCUCUCUCUCUCUCUCUCUCUCGUAAAAACAAUCAAACAAGGGUCUCAUUGUGUACCCCUGGCAACUCAAAAUGUGGACCAGGUUGGCUUUGAACUCACAGCUCCUCCUGCCUCUGCCUCCCAAGUGCCAUCAUGGCCAGCUAAAUGCAGCUUUAUGGACUUAUAGAUCUGCUGAGGGACCUCAGAGAUCCCUCCUCUCUAAGACCAGAGUCCCUUCCCCUCGAUAAAUGUGAAGUAUUUCCUCUUGCAUUGGUUAUCAGAGCCACCUCCUCCCCUCUUAUCCCACCCCCCCAACAAGUGACCCCUGUCACUAAAGGAGAGAUAUCUUACCUGAGAUCUUAUCUCUGUUGGCCCUGAAAAAAGCCUUUAUUACCUAACACAUUUCUGUUUAAUCCCCUUUCUUACCUCGGGGAAGCGUUUUCCUCCCUCUGUGCCCAGAAGUUGAGCAAAGUCACAGCCUACAGAGCUGUUUUCCCCCUCAGUGCUUCAUGCCUCAGUCCCCUCCACUGUUUCAGUUUUCUGAAAAUCUCUUCCUCAUUCUUGGGAGAUAACGACUCAGGUCACACAACUCUAAAUGGACAGUUUACCGGUAGUGCGUGGAAGGUGUCUUUCUUCUGUCUCCGGGUUUUGUGGCUGACAGCCACGUUGGUGAUUAGUUGCAAACCAGAAUUUCUUUCUGGUUUAAUGCCUUCGCUUUUCUUUUUUUCUUUUUCUUUUCCUUCGUCUUUGCAAACAACAGCAGCCUCGCUACAAUGUGUCAAACGGGAUUGUUUAUUUACUCUUUGAUUUGGAGUAUUGUUCUGUCUAUUGAAAAGACUCAGGCCCUGUUUCUCUUGAGUGUUUCUUUUUGGUCUGAGGUGUUUGUCUGACAGGGUGUCUUGGCAAGUCCAAGCUGACCUGGAGCUAAGUGUGUUGCCAAUGGUGAUGUUUUUUUUUCUUUUUUUCGGAGCUGGGGACUGAACCCAGGGCCUUGCGAUUGCUAGGCAAGUGCUCUACCACUGAGCUAAAUCCCCAACCCCUCCAAUGGUGAUUUUGAACUCCUGACUUUCCUGUCUCAGCCUCUUAACUGCUGGGAUUGCAGGUAUGUGUUGCCGAGCCCAGUUCUAGACAGGUUCUCUGGGCACACUGGGCAUGAUUUCGUUCCUGUUUACCUCAUCUCCUCCUGAAGCCAGCUACUUACCAGGUCCAUGUCAUCAUCUGACCCCCCACACACACCCACACCCCACACACACACACCUACCCCUCCACCCUCCCCCUUCCUUCUUCCUUCUUAAAUUUCAAAGCCCUUUAUGGAGAUCAGAUAAUUUUACCUAAGUGGUACAGGGACUGUUUUACUCAGGGUUUGUAUUCCUGCACAGACAUCAUGACCAAGAAGCAAGCUGAGGAGGAAAGGGUUUAUUCAGCUCACACUUCCACUUUGCUGUUCAUCACCAAAGGAAGCCAGAACUGGAACUCAAGCAGGUCAGGAAGCAGGAGCUGAGGCAGAGGCCAUGGAGGGAUGUUACUUACUGGCUCGCUUCCCCUGGCUUGCUCAGCUUGCUCUCUUAUAGAACCCAGACCACCAGCCCAGGGAUGGCACCACCCACAAUGGGCUGGGUCCUCCCCCCUUGAUCAGUAGUUGAGAAAAUGCCUUACAGCUGGGUCUCGUGGAGACAUUUUCUCAACGAAGGCUCCUUUCUCCUUUCCAGCUUGUGUUAAGUUGACACACGAAACCAACCAGUACAGAGACCUUGCUGUCUCAAUCUCAGCCACAUCCCCAAGCCUCCUGCACGCCUCUGUUAGUUCCAAUGACCCUGUGCUUUCUUUGUUGCCUUCUGCCUUCUCACAGCUCUUGCCCAGUUUUAAUACAUUCGAGUUUUAUAUUUGUGUGUGUGUGUGUGUGUGUGUGUGUGUGUGUGUGUGCGCGCGCGCGCGCGCCACACAUAUUUGGGUGCCCAUGGAGGCCAGAAGACUGUCAAAUCUUUGAAGCUGAAGUUGCGGGCAGUUGCGAACUGUCUGAUGUGGGUGCCGGGAACUGCUCUUGCCCUAGAAGAGCCGAAAAAUGCUGUAAAUGGCGGAGCCACCUCCCCAUUCCUUCAGGUCAGUUUCUGGUACCUGAUACACCUCACCAUUCCCACACAGUGAGCUCUGGAGGUCGAGUCUCCCAUGUCCUCUCUCUCUCCCUCUCAUUUGUAGGAGCUGCUGGUCUGGGUGAACUCAUUUAGGGCAGCUCCCGGGAAGAACUUCCUUAAGGAACUGCAGUACUCACUGAAUAGGUAGCUAGCAUUUCCAUGGUGCCCGCUUUCCAGCCCUGUGGUUAAGAGAGAAUUGUUUAAUCUUGAAAAGAAAGCAAGGGUGUGCUGGAGAAGUAGCCGAGUUGGCAAGAGUGCUUCCCAAGCCUGUGCAGAGCACCCAUUCCUUAGACUAGCAGAGGCAGAGGGCCUCAAAGUUCAAGGUCAUCCUUUGCUACAUAAAAACAUUCCUUCAGAAUAAUAAUAAUAAUAUAAUAACAAUAUUGCGAGCUGGGGGAGGAGGUAGAAAGGCGCAGAAUUCACUCUGCUGACAAUUCUGGUAGCUGCCUUUUGAGGGUGAUCAGAAUGGGCAGAUAGAUACUGUGUCCUCUGUCCCAAGCACAGGACUCUGCUUCCCUUGAGUUCAUUGCCACUGUGUAAAAAACCAGCUAUCAAAAGGUUUAGAUUUCCCUUGGAAAACUGAACAGACGCACAAUGCUGAGCCUGUAGUGAUAAUCUUAGACACAGGAGGGACGUGCCCUCUGCACUUUUAACAGAUAGUUGGGCAAGCAUCGUGUGUCGAAACAGAGGCCGGGUAAGUGGCCUAGAACAGGCCGAAACCUGUUUUUCUCUUUUGACAGUCAAAUCGCUGUGGCAGAUGGAUGGCCACUAUGUCAGACCCAGGGCUUCGUGGGUGCCACCAGCGACAGCUUGACUUUUCCUCUCUUCCCUCUGUAGGCACCCCAGCUGGCACAGCACUUUGCACCUAGCACACUAGUGAUCAGUACCGUGUGCUGAGUACUUGCUGGAAGGCACAAACUUCCUGACACCGUCGCCGACAUUCUUUUUAACUCUCCACCGUGAGGUAGUUAAGGACGGUGGAAAUUUGGCUACACUGGCUUAAAUAAGAUCAAAAAGGAGGCUGAGUUGCCUCAAAAGUUACUCGAGGCUGUGUUCAUUGUGGCGGGGGUUCAGCAUGAGGUGCGGAGUUUAUCUAGGAAGGCUGGAUCUCUUUUUUUUUUUUUUUUUUUUUUUGUGGUUCUUUUUUUCCGGAGCUGGGGACCGAACCCAGGGCCUUGCGCUUCCUAGGUAAGCGCUCUACCACUGAGCUAAAUCCCCAGCCCCGAAGGCUGGAUCUCUUUAGAAAGUUACCUUUGUGGUGCAGAUGCCAUCUCAAUACCUGUAUAGUUAGAACUUGAGGGUUUGUUUGUUUGUGACAGAGACUCACUGUCUAUCACUGACUGGAACUAACUCUGUGAUCUAGACUGACCUCAAACUUACAACAGACUGCCUCUACCUCCCCAGUGCUGGGAAUAAAGGCACACCCCAUCACACCUGGCAGAUGAGUUUAUUUUUUCUUGGUGCUAACCAAGCACAGAAGGAAGUCCUGACCAACCUGGUUUGGUCACGUGGCUGUUUCUUCUGUUGGAGGUGGAAGACUCCCUACACCUGGGUCAUCUGUUCAUGGUUGUGUGGUAAACUAUGUUCUCUGGAGAGAAGGAGAAACACACAAAGACCUGUGGCAAAUCCUGGAGACAGGCUCCUCCGGUCUCACAGAGACCACUGUGAGACUUAAAGAAAAGAGCUUGUGAACUUGGUGACAACCAGAAGAAGCAAGAGGGGUCUAAAUCCCUGCUUUAUGACCCCCAGGUGGAGUCAAGUCUUGACUCAGUGGCUUCAGCUGUUUCUGGGGGGAGGGGUUCAUCAUCCUGCCACCCCGACCUUUGUAAGGGGAAAGCCCUUGCUCCUGCAUUUACCAGUCAGAUUCUAGCGAUUUCCUGCAACCUUGUCAUAGCAAGACCCUGAGUUCCAGUUUGACUCUAAGCUCUGUUUUCCCUGGAACUAUUCUGGUGGCCACCCUUGAAAAUAGUGCCCUUAGGGGCUGGAGAGAUGGGUCAGCUGCUAAGAGCACAUGUUGCCCCAGGUUACAUCCUAGAACCCACAUGGCGCCUCACAACCAUCUGUAACUCCAGUUCCAGAGGAUCAAAUGCCCUCUUCUGGCCUUCAAGGGCACUAGGCACACAAGUAGUGCACACAUAUAUUGUGCAGGCAAAAAAUACCUAUACGCCUUAACUCUGUGUGCAUGCAUGCAUGUGUGCAUGUGUGCAUGUAUGCACAUGCUCGAAUGUGAGUGUGUUCCCUCUAAACUGGCUAGGUAUGGUAUUGAAUAGCGUCUCAUAACAGAGGGGAGAGAGGCGAGAGGGGCUGACAUAGAAAUCUAGAAUGGUCAGAUGAAACCAAAAGAUGAAAUGUUUUUCUCUCUGUCUCCAUCCCUCUUCUCCUCCUUUCUCCCCUGCCCCCCCUCUUUCACACACACACACACACACACACACACACACACACACACACACACUCUCAAACACACCAGUUUGAGAAUCAAGGUAUCAGGGAGAGUGAACUGCAUAACAAAUACAUACAUAUAUCAUACAUACAACAUACAUACACACACACAUAACAGUAGGGAACUGUGUGCCCCUCUGGAUUUUUAACUGUUUCCUUUUGCUAUCUCUACUCAUUGGUUUGUUUGAGAUAGGCUCUUCCUGUGUAGCCCAGGCUGCCCUCUAUCUUGGAAACUUCUUGCCUCACCAGGAAAUUGGGACCACAAGUGCACACACCGUCUGUGACUCUUACCCGUUCCUGGCCAGGAAGUAUCGUUAGCUUGAGGUGGCUUCCGUGUCUCUUCUUUGUGAAACCUCGCUUACAAAGCGCAGCCCCAGCGUGUAGAACAUUGUGUUUACAUGUCUCCAUUCUACAGGACCUGGAGUGUUAUCAUUUGUGUGGGCAGAGACCAGAAGAUGACCGGUGUGUGGGCUCUUCUUCUGCACCGUUGGCUCACUUCUGCACCGUGGCUUGAAAAACAGCUAUCACGGUGUGAGUCGGUUACUUACGAAAAAUUGUAAAAAGUCAACGUGUAAACAUUUUAAAUCUCUCAAAUUAAAAACGAGUCAGGCAUGGUGGCAAACACACACACCUUUAAUCCCAACAUGUGAGAGGCAGAGGCAGGAAAAUCAGGAACCCAAGGUCCUCUUCAGGUCCUGUCCAGUUUGAAACCAGCCAGUGCUACCCAGUGAGACCUUGUGUCAAAAAUGAACAGAUGAACACAAUCCCGUUUGACAACAACGAAGACAGAUGGCAGCUUGAUGUGCCCUAAGGGCCACCAGUGGUUCAUUGCAGCGGGCUGCACCGUUUGGCACAAGUUUGUUCUCCACACUACUGGUCACAGGUGCACUCCGGAAGCCAGGCACUCUGGUCCCCCUUGGUCCUCAGGUUUCUUUUGCGUACUUUCAGUUACAUGCAGUCAACCAUGGUCAGCGUAGUUCGGGACGUUCUGAGAGGUAUUUGAAUAUCUUUUCUUAGAGUCUACCACUCUAGGUGUUUGGUUUUAUUACCGGUUAGUGCAAUGAUUUGAAUGUCAAAUCUUCCUCCCUAGGCUCAAGUGUUUAAGCACAUGGUCCCCAGUUGUGGGCAGUGUUUUGGGAGGUCGUGGACUCUUGCAGAGGUGAGUCUUAGCUGGCUAAAGUAGGUCAGUGGUGUGAGGUGGGCUUGAAGGAUAGCCUGGCCUACUUCCGUUUAGUUUUAUGCUUCUUACCCACCCAGUGAUGUGCCAAGAUGCUGCCCCUCGCACCCAGGCCAAAACUGCAGCCACAGACUCAACUCUAUCAUAAAACUGUGAGCUGUGGUAACUCCUCCCCAUGAGUUGGUCUUGUCAGGCCUCUGGCCACAGAGACUUUCAUAACUAACAUCGUUACUGUUAAUCUCUAACUGACACAAUCUGUGAAUUACGUCCCUUGUUGAUCCAUGGUUCUAGUAGAUUACUAUGGGGCAGGAACAUAUCAUGAAUAAGGAAGACUGUUGAUCCCAGGUAGACACUGUCAGUUCUACCACACAUGGAUGGGCACACUGGCUUUCUCACUGGGCUGGGAAGAAGCCACCCCUGAGGGCUAAGUAAACCAUGUGGGAUUUUUCUUUUAAGGCCAAUUUUUAAUAUUAUAAUUUUUAUCAGUGUGUGUGUGUGUGUGUGUGUGUGUGUGUGUGUGUGUGUGUGUAUGUGUGUAGGAGAGAGUCAGGGGACAACUUAGGAUCUCAGGGAUCAUCCCUCAGGUAUCUUUACCUACUGAGUUUGCCCCCACCCCCACCUCCAUGCCUGGAUUUACUGUACAAAGCCUUGCGGCUCAGGCAUUGUGUCUGGUGGAGACUGUCGCUGUUGAGCCUAUCAGCAACUUGAUUGAUUUGAUUGGAUGGAGAAGCUCCUGGGGGACAGAGUGUUUGGGAGGGUGUUUCCAGAGAGGAUUAGCUAAGGAGGAGGGCCUACCUAGAGUGUACACAGCAGCAGCCAGGGCUCAGGUCCAGCUGGAGCAAAGGACAGGAGGGAGCUGACAAGCUUGUGCACUCUCUUGGCUUCCAGGCUCCUGUGUUACAUGCCUGCUCCUCACACUCUCCAUCAUGGCUGAGGGAAACUUUGGAAGGCUGAGCCUAGCAAACCUUCCUUCUUUUACAUUGUUUCCCUUUUCACCACAGGAAUGCCUGACUAACAUAAGGCUUAACAAAAUAGUCUCAGCCCUGGAGUCCUUGCUGUAGAAGGUUCCCCAGAUAAAACCUGUGGAAUGCAGAGACCAGGUAGAAUCAAGCUCUAGAGCUAUGAGUCUGGCAGGACUCUUGGCCCUGGAAAUGCCUAGCUUCCAACUAGAAGUGGAGUAUUAUGCAGCAGGGACACAUUACUAAUGCCCUCUGCUUUGUUGUGUGGUAGCAGGUACGGGCUACAUUCCCUAAGUCAUUAGUACCAACCCUCACACCUUAGGAGGUUGCUUUGAGGCGCAAGAUAAAACUAGGUAUAAAAUUUGUAUGAGCAUGUCGAUAUGCACGUGUGUGUACAUGAACACUAAUUCAGCCUAUGGUUAAAUUAAAACAUCGGGAUCCUGGAAAUAAGAAACUGGUAGAAUACACAUAUUAUCUCAGUGUCAACAAGAUGAAUAGAACUGAAAUAAAUCAAAAUGCAUACUGCUUUCCACUUCCCCAACCUUAUGGACAGGAGCAGUCAAAGCCACAGUAAAGAGAUGACUCAGGUAAGAGCAUGCACUGCUCUUGCAGAGGAUCCAGGUUUGGUUCCGAGCACCCAUGUGGGGUAGCUCACAAUUACCAGGAACUACAGUUCCAUGGGCAGCGAGACCCACAGGCAUCUGCAUGAACACACACAUACAACUAAAAAUAACAAAAAUAAAUAUUUUUUUUUUAAAAAAUUGCAGGAGGGGCUGGGGAUUUAGCUCAGUGGUAGAGCGCUUACCUAGGAAGCACAAGGCCCUGGGUUCGGUCCCCAGCUCCGAAAAAAAAAGAACCAAAAAAAAAAAAAAAAAAAAAACCAAAAAAAAAAAUUGCAGGAGAGAUGUUGGUACCAGCUCUGGUUGUUUGUGGAGAAGAUGUGGAGACCGUAUGGAAUGCUGGGGAGAUGGUUCCGCUGGUAAAGUGCUUCCCGUGAAAGCACGGAGACCUGAGCCCAGUACCCCCAGAAUUCACCUAAACAAGCGUAGCGCAGUAUCGCAUGUCUGUGGUCCCACCAGUGAGGAGAGGGAAGGAAGGUACACAGGGGUCCCUAGACAGCCAGUGUGACUAAAUCAGGAUGCUUCACAUUCAGUGAGAGACCUUGUCUCAAAUACAUAAGGUAGAAACAUACUUAAACUGACACCUGCCAUUGGCCCUGGCUUCCACACACACAUGCACGCAACAGCGCCUGCACACACAUACACACACACACAACUUGCCUGGAGACUCCUGGUAAGAUUAUAGAUGUGACCACUGGGAACCCGAGAAUCAUGGUUUCCCAGCUGACCCCUAUCCAAAGUGGGAUUUUAUGCUUAACAUUUGACAUACAAUGAAUUCAUUCACAAUGAUUCAUCUACGGCUUUAAAAGAAAUAAUAAAAUCUUAGUUCAUGUGAUAUAUACUAUUUUCUUGGCGUAUUUUAUUGUGGGCCAUAAAACAAAGGUUCCAGAAGAUUGAAUCACUUGACAGAUGGCACAUAGCUAGACUGGAGUCUAACCCCAGGUCAUCUGAGUGUGCAUUCCAUGGUCCCCGUGUCCAGGACUCUGCAAACACGUGACCAGUGCUUGCUCCUGAGCUUACAACAGAAUGAAGGAACUGACAUUCAUUCAUGAGGGGAACUAAAUGCAAACGCAGCCGGCAUUUCUUAGGACACCUUAGAUACCAGUGGUUUAUCAAAUUUGAAUCAAAUACUGAAAUACAAAUUGGCCCUGGUUCGGGAUGUCUGGUCAUUUUCAGGAUGAAGAAAGCAAGAUUCCGAGGCUCAGUGGUGAUCGGAAGGUUAAGCCAGGAAUGAGAAAGGCUUUAAAGUCUCUUACAGCAGCAAUCAUGAGAUCACCCAGGGAGCAUACAUGACUGCAGGAGCAUCGGUGAAUGAGCCAGAGGCUGCAGCCUCCAUAUUCUAACCAGGGACCGCCUGGCGUGACCAUGAGAAACCAUGGCCCCAGGCAGUAGUUCUGUUUUUCAUUAUUCAGAGAAACACUAAAUCUAAAGUUUGAACUCACAAAUGUACUAAAACAUCUUAACCUAUUAAAAUUUUCUUAGAAGACUAUGUGUGCUCAACGCUGCGUGUACCAUUGGACCCCAAGGUUGAGGAUGAGUUCCCUCUUCUACUUGAGAGCCGUGAAGGAAAACCGACAGAUUUCCCCCAGAUGAGCAGCGAGUGGGAGGUUUCAGAGAGCCACAGGAUUGAAAACACCCUCCUGAAAAGAGAUUUAAGCUAAACCGUACGUAGAGGGACUAAAAAGCAUCUCGGCACUGUCAGGAGGCUGUCCUGCGGGUCCCAACCACCUGUACCCUCUUGAGCCAAGAUGCCCUCUUGGCUUCCACAGGGUCUUAGUUACUUUCUAGUGUGAAAAGACACUAAUGUACGGAAGAAAACAUUUCUUGGAGCUCUAGGAGUUAGAGUCUGUGGCCAUCAUGGCCAUCAUGGCAGGGAGCGGGUCAGCAGGCAGUCAGGCAUGGUGCUGGAGCAGUAGAUGAGAGCUUACAUCUGACCACAUCAGGAAGCAGAGAGAGGAGACACUGGGAGUGGCUUUGGCACUUGAAACCCCAAAGCCCGCCCCUAGUGACACAUUUCCUCCAAUAAGGCCACACCUCCCAAUCCUUCCAAAGCAGUUCCACCAACUGCAGACCAAGCAUGCUCAUAUAUAAGCCUAUGGGGACCAUUCUUACAAGCUACCACACAUGGCCACUGGCACAAAUAAACACCCACCCGUUAAAAAAAUAAAUCAUGAGCCAGUUCCAUUUCUGUACAUAAGUAAUAAGCAAUUUCAAAAUAUAAAUUUAGAAAUCUACAGUAUCCAUGACGUUUAUGAAACAAGACUGUGAAACGUCAUUGAAAUACAACAUUCUAAAUGAGGAGGAGGAUGAAUGCUGGGCCCGGAUGGAGAUUGCUGAUAAGUCAGUUCCAAUUCUGCAAAAUGGCUCAGUAUGUCACAGUGCUUGCCGACAAGUCUGAUGAUCUGAGUUCUAUCCCCAAAACUAUGACGUGGAAAGACGGGACAGAACCUUAGCUAGUCGCCCUCUGGACCUCCAUAGGAGUAAUGUCACACCCCAUCCAACUAACUAUCUAGCUAACUAACUAACCAACUAACCAACUAACCAAAACUAUGCAAGAACAGAUGUCUAUUCUCUGUCAGGGAAAACCACUCAAAAUAAUUACAGUCCAGCUGGAUGGUGGUGGCACGCACCUUUAAUCACUCAGAAAACAAAACAUGAUGCAUGUGUGUGUGUGUGUGUGUGUGUGUGUGUGUGUGUGUGUGUGUGUGUGUAGGAUAGGUUGCUUUUGGUAGGUUAAAUGUGAAGACCACAAUGGAUGACUUCAGUGCUGGAAGGCAAGCAUUCAGAACCAACACACCUUGCUGGUGUUUCCCACUCAAUGGUCCACGCUUGCUUUUCCAGAGAUUAACAACAAAUUUCUUAUAUUAGUUUAAUGCAGUAAGCAAAUUCUGGAAGUCUGAAUUUGCCUGCAGCCUGCCAUUUUUUUUCAGAGCAGACACCUGUGUUUGUAGUCACCUUGGUGGUGAAUUGUAGUGCUUUGUCACGGGCUCGUGACAUUGGGACAAAGACUGAUUAUCUAAGAACCCAGCUAGGCCACAGGUAGGUCAAUGCCACAGACCAGAAAGGCCUGGCCGCAGCUGUGCUAGCAGUGGGAGAAUGGCAUGAGCCGGGUCACUGUUCCAGGAGUUGUCAGAUGACAUGGGUAUUGUUUGGAUAAACCUAAAAGAAUCUGCCUGGCUGUUGUCAGCACCAUCUUUGAGCUGUAAAUAACGGUUUUGAGGGCUGGAGAGAUGGCUCAGCGGUUAAGAGCACUGACUGCUCUUCCAGAGGUCCUGAGUUCAAUUCCCAGCAACCACAUGGUGGCUCACGACCAUCUGUAAUGAGAUCUGGUGCCCUCUUCUGGCCUGUAGUCACAUAUGCAGGCAGAAUGCUGUACAUAAAAUAGAUAAAUAAAUCUUUAAAAAAAAUAAUAACGGUUUUGAGUCAUAAAAAUAAGUAAAGUUGUUGAUUUGUAUUUCAUUGGUUUAUGGUUGAGUGUUUAGUUUGGAAUUUUGAUGAGAUUUUUUUUUCUUUCACAAGCAAUGUCCACUUAGCUGUAUGUAUGUGUGUGUUUGUGUGUGUGUGUGUGUGUGUGUUUGAGUGAGUGUGUGUGUGUGUGUCUGUGUGAGUGUGUAUGUUUGAAUGUAUGUGUGUUUGAAUGCCUGUGUGUGCCUGUGUGUUACUAUAUUUGUAUUUGUGAUUGUGUGUUCGUGUGUGUGAUUGUGUAUUUGUGUGUGUGAGCAUGUGUUUGUGUGUGUUUAAAUGUCUGUGCCUGUGAGUGUGUGUGUGUGAGUAUGCAUGUGUGUGAGUGUGUGUGUGUGUGUGUGUGUGUGUGUGUGUGUGUGUGUUCAGAGGUUGACACAGGGACAUCUUCGUUGCUUUUCUGCCUUUCCCCAGGAUUUCUGGUCUGACAGUUUCAUACAUUUAGUGAGUGGAGUUUGGUCAUUUUUCACCCCCCUUUUCUUCCCUCUCACCCUCCUUCUCCCACUGUCACCCCUCUUCUCAGCUUUAUUUUUAUCUUCCUUUUGUGCAUGGCCAACUGACUUACCUCAUUUCUUGAGCUAGGGUCUCUUUGCUGAACAGGGAGUUUGCCAUUUUGUUUCAGGGGGCUGGUCAGGGAGUUCCAUUGCCAGCCAUGGUCCACCUGUCUCUGCACCCUGAUGCUGGGGUGCAGGCGCCUGAUGCUGUACCCAACUUUUUUUUUUUGGUUCUUUUUCGGAGCUGGGGACCGAACCCAGGACCUUGCGCUUCCUAGGUAAGCGCUCUACCACUGAGCUAAAUCCUCAGCCCCUGUACCCAACGUUUUUAUGUAGGUGCCAGUGAUCCAACCCAGGUUCCUGUGCUCAUAGAACAAGCACUUUGCCCACUGGGCCACUUUCCUGGUCCCCUACUUUUAGCCUAUAACUCCCGAUGCUCCAAAACUCAGCCCUACUGUGGGUUGCUUUACGAAUUGUUUUGAAUCAAAUGUGGUGUCAUAUGCCUUCAACCCCAAUACUCCAGAGACAGAGGCAGGGGAGUAUCUGAAUCUGAGGCCAGCCUUGUCUAUAUAUCAAGUUCCAGGUCAGCCAGGACUACAUUGAGAGAACCUAAUUUUAAAAAAUGCAAAAGAGUUGUUUUGACUUUAACUAGUCCCAUGAGGUAAUCGUGAUUGAGCAGUAAUGAAACUGGCUGUCAAGGUUUGUGCUUGAUUCUAGCUCUUGGUACAUGUCCAUAUGUGUGCAGAUCAGAGAAGGGAGCUGAGAAACAUGGGCUCCUGAAGUUUACUAGAGACCCUUGCCUAUUUUCCACAUUACCACUGUGGUGUGUGUGUGUGUGUGUGUGUGUGUGUGUGUGUGUGUGUGUGUGUGUGUGUGU
Rattus norvegicus (Norway rat) is the source of this 24518-nucleotide non-coding RNA. NCBI's taxonomy places the organism in Eukaryota, Metazoa, Chordata, Mammalia, Rodentia, Muridae. The record is from RefSeq and is a predicted model, not a curated record.